Molecule: ribosomal RNA, 481 nt
Filed under: uncultured bacterium
Lineage: Bacteria
Description: bacterial SSU rRNA
Rfam family: Bacterial small subunit ribosomal RNA
Source: RNAcentral
GGGGAUAGCCCGAGGAAACUCGGAUUAAUACCGUAUACGUCCUUAGGGAGAAAGAGGGCUUAGCUUUGAUGCUCUCGCUAUUAGAUGAGCCUGCGUAAGAUUAGCUUGUUGGUGAGGUAAAGGCUCACCAAGGCUACGAUCUUUAGCUGGUCUGAGAGGACGAUCAGCCACAUUGGGACUGAGACACGGCCCAGACUCCUACGGGAGGCAGCAGUGGGGAAUAUUGGACAAUGGGCGCAAGCCUGAUCCAGCCAUACCGCGUGUGUGAAGAAGGCCUUCGGGUUGUANAGCACUUUAAGUAAGGAAGAAAAGAGUAUUGUUAAUACCAAUACUCCGUGACAUUACUUACAGAAUAAGGACCGGCUAAUUCCGUGCCAGCAGCCGCGGUAAUACGGAAGGUUCAAGCGUUAAUCGGAAUUACUGGGCGUAAAGCGCGCGUAGGUGGUUUAUUAAGUUGGGUGUGAAAGCCCCGGGCUCAACC